RNAcentral lists this long non-coding RNA (720 nucleotides) under Fukomys damarensis (Damara mole-rat). RNAcentral's name for it is "lncRNA (ENSFDAG00000022093.1)". The record is from RNAcentral. Lineage: Eukaryota; Metazoa; Chordata; Mammalia; Rodentia; Bathyergidae.
CUCUGGGAGGUCUAAGGCGAAUACACAAGCACCUGGACACUUUGCCCUGGGAUCGGAAAAGACGCGUGUCAGUUCAGCCCCCUUGCUGCCCGGCCACCUCCCGCUGGACAGUGGCCCCUUUCCACAUGCUGACGCACUGCCCAGCCCUGCACCGCUGGCGACCAGUGCAAAGUACCAGCCCAGUCUCAGAAACUUUGACUCAGUUAUCAGGGCACUGGGAACCAACAAUCUAGGCGGGGGACGGGGUGUUCGUCAUGGCUCAGGCGGUCAACUUUGAAGCUCUGUCAUUCCUUGCAGGUAGAAAUCUGCCCAGGACGAAGCCAGGCUACAAAAACCACAAACAUCUGCAGAAGCAGGAGCCGAGCAGUCUCGUCGGAAGAAGGGGAAGAGCAAGGGAAAGACACAGCCGCGAACAGAAGCCUGCGCUGUGGGGUGUCUGUGUUUGUGAAGCGCUCCCUCACUGAUUUCUUCUGUGGGACCCUAGUUGAAAAGGGAAAUAACCUGCGGGGAAAGAAGGACAAAGUGCUGAGCACUGCUGGACAUCAUAUGAAGAGAAGGUACCCUUGUUGCAGCUUUUUAUCCUUUGGGAUAAUACCUGUUGAAAUACUAACCAGGUAGAAAUUAAAAGAAAUCAGCUCUUCUCCACAAGUAUUGUCCUGAUCCUUGAACUGUAUCCUCCUUCCUAGAUCCUGCAGCCAGAAAUGACCUAUACAUUUCCCC